AGGGUUCGAUUCUGGCUCAGGAUGAACGCUAGCUACAGGCUUAACACAUGCAAGUCGAGGGGCAGCAUUGGAGUAGCAAUACUUCAGAUGGCGACCGGCGCACGGGUGAGUAACACGUAUCCAACCUGCCGCUUACUCGGGGAUAGCCUUUCGAAGAAAGAUUAAUACCCGAUGGUAUAAAGAGUUCGCAUGUUCUCUUUAUUAAAGAAUUUCGGUAAGCGAUGGGGAUGCGUUCCAUUAGAUAGUUGGCGGGGUAACGGCCCACCAAGUCUACGAUGGAUAGGGGUUCUGAGAGGAAGGUCCCCCACAUUGGAACUGAGACACGGUCCAAACUCCUACGGGAGGCAGCAGUGAGGAAUAUUGGUCAAUGGACGAGAGUCUGAACCAGCCAAGUGGGCGUGAAGGAUGACUGCCCUAUGGGUUGUAAACUUCUUUUAUAAGGGAAUAAAGUGAGGGACGUGUCCCUUUUUGUAUGUACCUUAUGAAUAAGGAUCGGCUAACUCCGUGCCAGCCGCGGC
This 518-nucleotide ribosomal RNA is filed under the name uncultured bacterium. RNAcentral describes it as "bacterial SSU rRNA". It matches the Rfam family "Bacterial small subunit ribosomal RNA", at positions 8 to 518 of the family's 1533-position model. The record is from RNAcentral.